Molecule: ribosomal RNA, 851 nt
Filed under: metagenome
Description: bacterial SSU rRNA
Rfam family: Bacterial small subunit ribosomal RNA
Source: RNAcentral
UGCUAGAGAUCAUCAGAGGGAGGUAGAAUUCCAGGUGUAGUGGUGAAAUGCGUAGAUAUCUGGAGGAAUACCAAUGGCGAAAGCAGCCUCCUGGGGUGAAUCUGACAUUGAGGGACGAAAGCGUGGGUAGCAAACCGGAUUAGAUACCCGGGUAGUCCAUGCCGUAAACGAUGAAUACUGGGUCUUCGGGGAAUCGACCCCCUGUGGACCGAAGCUAACGCGUUAAGUAUUCCGCCUGGGGAGUACGGUCGCAAGACUAAAACUCAAAGGAAUUGACGGGGGCCCGCACAAGCAGCGGAGCGUGUGGUUUAAUUCGAUGGUAAACGAAGAACCUUACCUAGGUUUGACAUAUAAGUAGUACUGACCCGAAAGGUGAUGGACCCGCAAGGGAGCUUAUACAGGUGCUGCAUGGUUGUCGUCAGCUCGUGCCGUGAGGUGUUGGGUUAAGUCCCGCAACGAGCGCAACCCUCGUGGAUAGUUGUUUUCUUUAUCCAGACUGCUUUUACAAGAGGAAGGUGGGGAUGACGUCAAAUCAUCAUGGCUCUUACACCUAGGGCUACACACACGCUACAAUGGACAGUACAGACGGUUGCUAAGUCGCAAGAUGGAGCCAAUCCGAUAAAGCUGUCCCCAAUUGGGAUUGUAGGCUGAAACUCGCCUGCAUGAACCUGGAGUUGCUAGUAACCGCAGAUCAGAAUGCUGCGGUGAAUACGUUCCCGGGCCUUGUACACACCGCCCGUCACGUCAUGGAAGUUUGAAACACUUGAAGUCGCUGGGCUUACCUUUUAGGAGGCAGGCGCCGAGAGUGGGGCAAAUGACUGGGACGAAGUCGUAACAAGGUAGCUGUACCG